UAACAAUGACCACGCCAUCACAUGUAUGAAAUAAGAAACGUUUAUUGCACAUAAUGAACAAAUGUGAACCAAUGUGGUAUACUGAGGGAUGAGGGGUGAUUCGAGGGAUGAAGGUAGGUUCGAGGGAUGAGGGAUGAAGGUAGGUUCGAGGGAUGAAGGUAGGUUCGAGGGAUGAGGGAUGAAGGUAGGUUCGAGGGAUGAAGGUAGGUUCGAGGGAUGAAGGUAGAGGGAUGAGGGAUGAAGGUAGGUUCGAGGGAUGAAGGUAGGGGGAUGAGGGAUGGAGGUAGGUUUGAGGGAUGAGGGAUGGAUGAGGUCAGAGGAAUGAGGGAUGGAUGAGGUCAGAGGAAUGAGGGAUGGAUGAGGUCAGAGGAAUGAGGGAUGGAUGAGGUCGGAGGAAUGAGGGAUGGAUGAGGUCGGAGGAAUGAGGGAUGGAUGAGGUCGGAGGAAUGAGGGAUGGAUGAGGUCGGAGGAAUGAGGGAUGGAUGAGGUCGGAGGAAUGAGGGAUGGAUGAGGUCGGAGGAAUGAGGGAUGGAUGAGGUCGGAGGAAUGAAGG
Molecule: long non-coding RNA, 553 nt
Organism: Dicentrarchus labrax (European seabass)
Lineage: Eukaryota; Metazoa; Chordata; Actinopteri; Moronidae
Exons: 4
Source: RefSeq, a predicted model, not a curated record